UCGAGAAUCUUUGGCAAUGGACGAAAGUCUGACCAAGCGACGCCGCGUGCGGGAUGAAGGCCUUCGGGUUGUAAACCGCUGUCGUAGGGAAUCAAAUGUAUUGGGGUACUCCCCUUUACUUGAGAGAUCCUAGGAGGAAGGAGAGGCUAAGCUCGUGCCAGCAGCCGCGGUAAGACGAGCUCUCCAAACGUUAUUCGGUAUCACUGGGCUUAAAGAGUUCGUAGGCGGCUUUGUAGGUGGGGUGUGAAAGCCCUCGGCUCAACCGAGGAACUGCGCUCCAAACCGUAAGGCUUGAGGGAGAUAGGGGUAAGCGGAACAGAUGGUGGAGCGGUGAAAUGCAUUGAUAUCAUCUGGAACACCGGUGGCGAAAGCGGCUUACUGGAUCUUUUCUGACGCUGAGGAACGAAAGCUAGGGUAGCGAACG
RNAcentral lists this ribosomal RNA (424 nucleotides) under uncultured bacterium. RNAcentral describes it as "bacterial SSU rRNA". It matches the Rfam family "Bacterial small subunit ribosomal RNA", at positions 355 to 774 of the family's 1533-position model. The record is from RNAcentral.